Nerophis lumbriciformis (worm pipefish) is the source of this 216-nucleotide long non-coding RNA. RefSeq lists it as uncharacterized. The record is from RefSeq and is a predicted model, not a curated record. Lineage: Eukaryota; Metazoa; Chordata; Actinopteri; Syngnathiformes; Syngnathidae.
UGCAUUCCAAUCAUUUAAUGGAGAGACUGGACCAAUCCUGGACCUCAUCGGUCUGCGACUGCUCCUGACCGCAACCAGCAAAGAAAAUCAUGUUAAGUCCUGUCUCUCGCAGCCAAGACGACGAUUGACCAAUGAGGAUGCAGUUGUCAGGGCGUGGACUAUGGAGUGGUUGUUUUCCAGAGAUGCAAGUGAACUUGGACCGGACAUGGCGUGAAG